This 467-nucleotide ribosomal RNA is filed under the name uncultured bacterium. RNAcentral describes it as "partial 16S ribosomal RNA". It matches the Rfam family "Bacterial small subunit ribosomal RNA", at positions 28 to 506 of the family's 1533-position model. The record is from RNAcentral.
GACGAACGCUGGCGGCGUGCUUAACACAUGCAAGUCGAACGGAAAGGCCCUGCUUUUGUGGGGUACUCGAGUGGCGAACGGGUGAGUAACACGUGAGUAACCUGCCCUUGACUUUGGGAUAACUUCAGGAAACUGGGGCUAAUACCGGAUAGGAGCUCCUGCUGCAUGGUGGGGGUUGGAAAGUUUCGGCGGUUGGGGAUGGACUCGCGGCUUAUCAGCUUGUUGGUGGGGUAGUGGCUUACCAAGGCUUUGACGGGUAGCCGGCCUGAGAGGGUGACCGGCCACAUUGGGACUGAGAUACGGCCCAGACUCCUACGGGAGGCAGCAGUGGGGAAUAUUGCACAAUGGGCGGAAGCCUGAUGCAGCAACGCCGCGUGCGGGAUGACGGCCUUCGGGUUGUAAACCGCUUUCGCCUGUGACGAAGCGUGAGUGACGGUAAUGGGUAAAGAAGCACCGGCUAACUACGU